UACAGGGGGUGCUAGCGUUGUUCGGAAUUACUGGGCGUAAAGGGCGCGUAGGCGGUCUUGUAAGUCAGGAGUGAAAUCCCGGAGCUUAACUUCGGAAUUGCUUUUGAAACUACAAGGCUAGAGUGAGUUAGAGGAUGGCGGAAUUCCUAGUGUAGUGGUGAAAUACGUAGAUAUUAGGAAGAACACCGGUGGCGAAGGCGGCCAUCUGGGACUCAACUGACGCUGAGGCGCGAAAGCGUGGGGAU
This 245-nucleotide ribosomal RNA is filed under the name uncultured Pelagibius sp. Its description in RNAcentral is "partial 16S ribosomal RNA". It matches the Rfam family "Bacterial small subunit ribosomal RNA", at positions 524 to 768 of the family's 1533-position model. The record is from RNAcentral. Lineage: Bacteria; Pseudomonadati; Pseudomonadota; Alphaproteobacteria; Rhodospirillales; Rhodovibrionaceae.